Molecule: ribosomal RNA, 425 nt
Filed under: uncultured bacterium
Lineage: Bacteria
Description: bacterial SSU rRNA
Rfam family: Bacterial small subunit ribosomal RNA
Source: RNAcentral
GGGCCCGCACAAGCGGUGGAGCAUGUGGUUUAAUUCGAUGCAACGCGAAGAACCUUACCUGGCCUUGACAUCCUGAGAACUUUCUAGAGAUAGAUUGGUGCCUUCGGGAACUCAGUGACAGGUGCUGCAUGGCUGUCGUCAGCUCGUGUCGUGAGAUGUUGGGUUAAGUCCCGCAACGAGCGCAACCCUCACUUUUAGUUGCCAUCAUUAAGUUGGGCACUCUGAAAGAACUGCCAGUGAUAAGCUGGAGGAAGGUGGGGAUGACGUCAAGUCCUCAUGGCCCUUACGUGUUGGGCUACACACGUGCUACAAUGGCCGGUACAGAGAGCAGCCACUCCGCGAGGAGGAGCGAAUCUAUAAAACCGGUCUCAGUUCGGAUCGCAGUCUGCAACUCGACUGCGUGAAGCUGGAAUCGCUAGUAAUCG